RNAcentral lists this ribosomal RNA (433 nucleotides) under uncultured bacterium. Its description in RNAcentral is "partial 16S ribosomal RNA". It matches the Rfam family "Bacterial small subunit ribosomal RNA", at positions 29 to 507 of the family's 1533-position model. The record is from RNAcentral.
AACGAACGCUGGCGGCAUGCCUAACACAUGCAAGUCGAACGAGACCUUCGGGUCUAGUGGCGCACGGGUGCGUAACGCGUGGGAACCUGCCCUUAGGUUCGGAAUAACUCCCCGAAAGGGGUGCUAAUACCGGAUAAUGUCUUCGGACCAAAGAUUUAUCGCCUUUGGAUGGGCCCGCGUUGGAUUAGCUAGUUGGUAGGGUAAAAGCCUACCAAGGCGACGAUCCAUAGCUGGUCUGAGAGGAUGAUCAGCCACACUGGGACUGAGACACAGCCCAGACUCCUACGGGAGGCAGCAGUGGGGAAUAUUGGACAAUGGGCGAAAGCCUGAUCCAGCAAUGCCGCGUGAGUGAUCAAGGCCUUAGGGUUGUAAAGCUCUUUUACCCGGGAUGAUAAUGACAGUACCGGGAGAAUAAGCUCCGGCUAACUCCGUG